GUUCCGGUGGACUAGUGCUUAGAGCGUCGGCCUCAAAUGCGGGAGGUCGUGGGUUUGAUCCCCGGCCGAUACA
Molecule: non-coding RNA, 73 nt
Organism: Potamilus streckersoni
Lineage: Eukaryota; Metazoa; Mollusca; Bivalvia; Unionida; Unionidae
Source: the annotation of a GenBank genome assembly